RNAcentral lists this ribosomal RNA (1113 nucleotides) under uncultured bacterium. RNAcentral's name for it is "bacterial SSU rRNA". It matches the Rfam family "Bacterial small subunit ribosomal RNA", at positions 140 to 1265 of the family's 1533-position model. The record is from RNAcentral.
GGGAUAACCCUCCGAAAGGUGGGCUAAUACCGAGAAUAACGGCGCCGGGCGGCAUCGCCUGGCGCUCAAAGACGCAAGUCGCUGGGGGAGCGGUCCAUGGCCUAUCAGCUAGUUGGCGGGGUAACGGCCCACCAAGGCGAUGACGGGUAGCCGGACUGAGAGGUUGAACGGCCACACGGGAACUGAGACACGGUCCCGACACCUACGGGUGGCAGCAGUAGGGAAUCUUGCGCAAUGGGCGACAGCCUGACGCAGCGACGCCGCGUGGGGGAUGAAGGCCUUCGGGUUGUAAACCCCUUUCAUGAGGGAAGAACACUGACCUAACCUCAGGAAGAAGCACCGGCUAACUCCGUGCCAGCAGCUGCGGUAAUACGGAGAGUGCAAACGUUGUUCGGAUUCACUGGGCGUAAAGGGCACGUAGGCGGCCCGGCAAAUCAGUCGUGGAAUCCCGUCGCUUACCGGCGGAACGGCGGCUGAAAAUACCGGGCUAGAGGGUGUGAGGGGUCGCUGGAACUCCUGGUGAAGCGGUGAAAUGCGUAGAUAUCAGGAGGAACGCCGGAGGCGAAAGCGAGCGACUGGUGCAUUCCUGACGCUGAGGUGCGAAAGCUAGGGGAGCAAACAGGAUUAGAUACCCUGGUAGUCCUAGCCGUAAACGAUGGACACUGAGUGGGGGAGGGCUUGCCCAUCCCUGCUGCAGCUAACGCGUUAAGUGUCCCGCCUGGGGAGUACGGCCGCAAGGUUAAAACUCAAAGGAAUUGACGGGGGCUCGCACAAGCGGUGGAGCAUGUGGUUCAAUUCGAUGCAACGCGAAGAACCUUACCCGGGCUUGAAGUGAGGGUGGUAGAAACCGGAAACGGUGACGACCCCGAAAGGGGAGCCUUCAUCAGGUGUUGCAUGGCUGUCGUCAGCUCGUGUCGUGAGAUGUUGGGUUAAGUCCCGUAACGAGCGAAACCCUUGCGAUUAGUUGCUACCCCGAAAGGGGGCACUCUAGUCGGACUGCCCGUGUCGAAUGGGAGGAAGGUGGGGAUGACGUCAAGUCAUCAUGGCCCUUAUGUCCGGGGCUACACACGUGCUACAAUGGCGGGUACAAAGGGUUGCCAACUCGCGAGAGGG